GACGAACGCUGGCGGCGUGCUUAACACAUGCAAGUCGAACGGAAAGGCCCUGCUUUUGUGGGGUGCUCGAGUGGCGAACGGGUGAGUAACACGUGAGUAACCUGCCCUUGACUUUGGGAUAACUUCAGGAAACUGGGGCUAAUACCGGAUAGGAGCUCCUGCUGCAUGGUGGGGGUUGGAAAGUUUCGGCGGUUGGGGAUGGACUCGCGGCUUAUCAGCUUGUUGGUGGGGUAGUGGCUUACCAAGGCUUUGACGGGUAGCCGGCCUGAGAGGGUGACCGGCCACAUUGGGACUGAGAUACGGCCCAGACUCCUACGUGAGGCAACAGUGGGGAAUAUUGCACAAUGGGCGGAAGCCUGAUGCAGCAACGCCGCGUGCGGGAUGACGGCCUUCGGGUUGUAAACCGCUUUCGCCUGUGACGAAGCGUGAGUGACGGUAAUGGGUAAAGAAGCACCGGCUAACUACGU
This 467-nucleotide ribosomal RNA is filed under the name uncultured bacterium. RNAcentral's name for it is "partial 16S ribosomal RNA". It matches the Rfam family "Bacterial small subunit ribosomal RNA", at positions 28 to 506 of the family's 1533-position model. The record is from RNAcentral.